Molecule: long non-coding RNA, 1468 nt
Organism: Quercus robur (English oak)
Lineage: Eukaryota; Viridiplantae; Streptophyta; Magnoliopsida; Fagales; Fagaceae
Exons: 3
Source: RefSeq, a predicted model, not a curated record
CAUCUGUGGGACCCACUAUAAUAAAAAAAGUGAAGAUACAAUUGCCUGGGUCUGGGUCAGGGUGUGAUGAGUGGUGGGGAAUUGUUUUGUGCAUUGUUUUUAAACCCACCGAGGAGCGUCAUCAUGAUUACCAACUGGACUAUCUCUUUGAAGUGGAUGAAUGCCUAAUGACUUAUUACGCAUUUGGACUUGGAGACCCUACUUUUUUUAUUAAAAUUACGGCAGAAUAUGGAGGGGAAUGGUCUCGUACAUAUUAUACGUCAGAAUAUGUUAAAGUGGAAUCGCAUCAUCUUUGGCUGCAUAGUCUGUCCAAGGAAUGUUUACUUCCAACAGAGAUUGAUAAUAAGCGACUCCAUGAAGUUGAGCUUGAAAUAGAGACCGGGCGCAUGGAGGUGGAGAAAAUUGGGCUUCGUGUGGUAUAAAAGCAAGACAUUGAAGAUCCCAAUUGAGAUGCUUUCUUCAGUUGGUGAUGAAAUCUAGGGUUUGAAGAUCCCAACCAAAAUAUGCGAAGCCCAUGAUGAGGAUGAUGGGGAAUUCUUUUCUUCACUUCUUUUACCUCUCGUGAACCCAAACAACAAGGACAUCAGGGAUAUUCUAGGAUUAGCCCCCCCAGCAAUGACUCGGAAAUUACUUUGGAGUGCUAGUUAAAAAUUUAGAAAAGGAUCAUCUAAUGAGAUUGUGAUGAUGAUUUGUCAUCUUAUUGGAUGGAAUAGCUUAGCUUGUAAUGCUACCGGUGGCACCUGUUUUAUAGAGCUGCUCUACUUGAGUAUGGAUUUCUUUCUAGUGAUUUUUCUGCAGAGUGGUCAAACUUUCACGAAUGAUAGUCUCUCAAACAACUGCUGGGAUUCAUUAGCUUCAAUUGGAAGUGGAAAUUAUGUGAGAAAGAUGAGUUUACAGGAAUUUGUGAGAGAAUGGAGGCCAAACUAGAAUUAAAGUGGAGCUAAAGGACCAUGCUUAAAUGUCUAAGGAGGUGCAGCUGGAGUGCUUGGAUCGUCUACCAUGAUUGGAAGCUUCAAAUAAGGAAAGAAAUCAAAGAAGCAGAAUCUGAAAAGGAAAAAUCUGAUUUGAGUACUGAUCAGUAUUUUAGGCGUAUCUCUCUCCUCAAAAAUCCAAUUGACACAAGGCCAGAUGGGUUGGAACCGUGACUUAAAUAUCUACAACUUUCCAGUUUUGAGUUUUUCGAAAUUAUCAAUUUUUGAAGGCCGAAAUUAACUCACAAGUUACCGCUGUAAACCUGGACGGAAAUUAAAAUAGUAAAUGUUUUAUUUUCUUGGGACACUUAGACAUGAGGGUUUUGAAGGGAGGCUGGUAGAACGAAUUUUGGCAGAGAAAACCUUGUAUUUUUCUUUCUCUAAUGGCAGCCUAAACUCUUUGCUAGGGCUAGGGGCUAUGUUUCUUCUAUACGGUAUGAAUAUUUAAUGUGAUUCUUUCUAGGAUUUUAUCAAUAACAUAUUUGAUUGUUCAAUUA